GUCUAUUACUACUAACCUUUAGGCACAAAGAAUGUCUUUCGAUGUGAGUGAUAAAUAGAGAAGACUACAACCGUAGUCUCCUUCUAACCUUGGUAAGGAUGAUCUACUGUUCUAAUGGGGAGGCUAACGGAAUCUAGAACAACAAAGGAUGUUCAACCCGCACCUAUAAACCCUAUCCUUCCUGCUAACGAGAUGUGAUCUACAAAGGUAGCUCGGAAAUGUCACGUUCCUCACUACUACCACGGUCCAGCUAGUCAGGGAAUAUCUAUGAGUACCCCAGCCUAAACACCACGUUUACGCCAGCAAUGAUUACUCUAAACUCUACGCGAAGAGAUUAAAGUAAACUCAUAAACCAUAAGAACAAUAAAACAAGAACUUACUAGAAUUUAGAAGUCGAAUUACUGAAGAAUCAUAGGAGCAAGCUUCGGGUUAGGAGAACUUGAUCCCGCAGGUACAAGCUUGGAGUAGACACCGACACGCCGGGCUUCCUCCACUCUACACCUCCACUCUAUCUCUCUCAAUCUAGUAGAAACUAGAAGAUCUAUUUCUACCUUACAUUGAUUGCUAAGCCUAAAAAGAAAUAUUAAUUAGAGAAGAGGUUUUCCUUCGAGGACACCCCUCAGUCUCUAUGAUAAUUUCUUCAUGUCCUCUCCAGGGGCCAGGGGGGCCUUGCUUAUAUAGUCCUCCCCUUCUAUGCGUUUUUGGGUCGAUAGGCGAGGUGGUACUAUGUUUUUCUUGAUCCAAUAGGUCGGUGGAAUAUCCCGAGCGAAAGAGUCCUGAUUUGGCUCCAACAGGGGGGCGGGCGCCCAGGCUACCAGGGCGGGCGCCCUGGGCCUGGCCCAGUUUUGCCUCCGCUUCGGUCUCGUGGCUUCUGGAGUCUUCUAGAUGAUGUAAAAUUGUGCGGUGCAUUGAUAUCUCUAUGUAAUCCCGACAUGUGGGCCUUUCUUCCUUAUUUCCUGAUAACCCCCUGCAGAAAUAGAUAAACAACAAAACUCGUGGAAUUCUGUCAGAUCAAACCCUAUUUCUAGGUGUUGGUUGCAUAUUGGUCCUUUCUCAUGUUUAUUUGAUAAUUAAAAUUGAUACUUAAGAACCAUCAACAAAUACCCCCAUACUUAGGCUUUUACUCGUCCUCGAGAAAAGGAUGGUUAAGAACAAUAUCUGGGGUAAACAUUUAAAACAUUCUCUUUAUAAUUUGCAGGGUGUUAAAAAUUCCACUGUGUACCAUAGUCAGGGAAGUUUAUGAUCAAGAGUAAAGAUUCUUUCUUUUCAAUCCUGUCACUUGGAGUUUUUGUAUAUUUUUGAAAGAAAGUUAGCAUACCUUUUGAUCCUCAUAGCUUCUCUCAAAUCACUCAUUAUCUUUUAUAUAUAUCUCACUGAGGUUGUUUUAUUUUUUAUUUUAUUUUUUUUCGCAAAAAUUCUCAAGCAUUCUAACUUUGCAUUUAUUGCCUGAUCAAAAUGGGAUCCGAGGAGGGGAAUGUCAUACUCUUAGAUCAACGACUUUGGAAAUUAAAAAUCUUUGUCAACUCUUACUGGCAUAUUGCUUAUUAGAGGGACCAUGGGCUAUCAUUUUUUUCUCCUCUCUUUUUUUUAAGUGGAUACCGAGGUACCCCUAAUUCUAGUGCUGGACACUUGUCCAUUUUUUCUGCGAGGUUGUCGAGCACUUGCUCCUUUUUAUUUCCUCGAAAUAUCUCUAUUUUUGCAUAGCCCAUGCCUCUAAUGCAAUAAUACUUCGGAAGAGUGAAUCUUACUGAAUUAAUGUCUUGAUCUUAGGAGCAAGAUAAAUCUCUCAACAAGGGUCUAACUCAUUUUGAACAAACUCAAUACAGAGCAGAAAGCUUUUAUAGUUAUAAUUAAUAUUUUCAGUUUUAUCAGGCAUAUAAAACACUGAGGAUGGUAGCUAGAAAUUUGAAUAUUUUGAAAUAAAUUCUCCAAGUAACAAUGAUAUCAAGAAUAAGAAACUCAUACUCUACCAUCACAUAUUCCAUAUUGACUUAAGUAACACAGGGUUUUAAAAUGAUUUUAUAAUAAUUGCAAGUUUUCAGGAAAUAUCAUAGAUUGAGAUUAAUCAUGAUUAGAAAUAUUUUAAUCCUUUUAUGUCGGAAACAGUAUUCUGCAUAAUCCAAAAUGUGUAAAGUAAAGUGUGCAGAGUGUGUACCUGAAUCGUGGAGUGGUGUAGUCGGAGUGUGUUUGGCAUGUUGAGGGAUCUCCCCCAUACUUGUUUUUUGCUUUCUUGCACAAAAAAUAAAGUAGAGACACACAAGACAUAAUAAUACUAAUAAUAUUCUUUAUUGAUCUUGAGGCAUUUAUUACAAAAGACUGAUAGCAAACUAAUAAUAGCAAACUGAUAAUAGCAAACUUAAACCGAAUUUAAAGAUAGAUAACUAAGAUGCAUUGCCUCAAGGUCUAAUCUAGAUAACUUAGCAGCGCUCUAAUUCCUUGAUCUUCUUGUUGGCACUGGCAAGAUCCUGCCUAAGGCCUAGUAUAAUGGUGUUGUGGUUAGAGAGCUGCCUAGUGAGGGAGUUAAUCGAGGACUGGAGGUCUAUGAUAACUCUAUCUAGCCUGCGAACUUCCUCAUCAAUAUCCAUUAUAGUCUUGCGACGCUUGGGAGGUGUUUCAAAAGCAUUGAGAGAGUGCUUCGGGGCUGCCUUUGGAGGGAUGAAACGGACUUUGGCU
Molecule: long non-coding RNA, 2673 nt
Filed under: Sorghum bicolor (sorghum)
Lineage: Eukaryota; Viridiplantae; Streptophyta; Magnoliopsida; Poales; Poaceae
Description: long non-coding RNA (SBIC_LNC009310)
Source: RNAcentral